This 894-nucleotide ribosomal RNA is filed under the name Bacillus licheniformis. RNAcentral describes it as "bacterial SSU rRNA". It matches the Rfam family "Bacterial small subunit ribosomal RNA", at positions 9 to 873 of the family's 1533-position model. The record is from RNAcentral. Lineage: Bacteria; Bacillati; Bacillota; Bacilli; Caryophanales; Bacillaceae.
GGGGGCGUAAGAAUUUUUUUUUCUGCUCAGACGAACGCUAGCAGCGUGCUAGUACAUGCAAGUACGAGCGAACCGACGGGAGCUGAUGCAAUAGAUCAGCGGCGGACGGCGUGUGUAUCAUCGUGGGUAACGGCCUGUAAGACUGGGAUAACUCCGGGAAACCGGGGCUAAUACGGGAUAACUUGAUUGAACCGCAUGGUUCACUUAUAAAAGGUGUUGUUUAGCUACCACUUACAGAUGGACACGCGGCGCAUCAGCUAGUUGGUGAGGUAACGGCUCACCAAGGCGACGAUGCGUAGCCGACGUGAGAGGGUGAUCGGCCACACUGGGAGUGAGACACGCCCCAGACUCCUACGGGAGGCAGCAGUAGGGAAUCUUCCGCAACGGACGAAAGUCUGACGGAGCAACGCCGCGUGAGUGAUGAAGGUUUUCGGAUCGUAAAACUCUGUUUUUAGGGAAGAACAAGUACCGUUCGAACAGGGCGGUACCUUGACGGUACCUAACCAGAAAGCCACGGCAAAUUACGUGCCAGCAGCCGCGGUAAUACGUAGGUGCCAAGCGUUGUCCGGAAUUAUUGGGCGUAAAGCGCGCGCGGGCGGUUUCUUAAUUCUGAUGUGAAAGCCCCCGGCUCAACCGGGGAGGGUCAUUGGAAACUGGGGAACUUGAGUGCAGAAGAGGAGAGUGGAAUUCCACGUGUAGCGGUGAAAUGCGUAGAGAUGUGGAGGACCACCAGUGGCGAAGGCGACUUUUUGGUCUGUAACUGACGUUGAGGCGCGAAAGCGUGGGGACCGACCAGGAUUAGAUACCCUGGUAGUCCACGCCGUAACCGAUGAGUGCUAAGUGUUAGACGGUUCCGCCCUUUAGUGUUGCAGCAAACGCAUAAGCACUCCACGG